GACGAACGCUGGCGGCGUGCUUAACACAUGCAAGUCGAACGGAAAGGCCUGCUUUCCCUUGUGGAUUGCGGGUACUCGAGUGGCGAACGGGUGAGUAACACGUGAGUGAUCUGCCCCCAACUUGGGUAUAAGCCUGGGAAACUGGGUCUAAUUCCCGAUAGGACUGCAGGGUGGUGCCUGUGGUGGAAAACGAUUUUCUUGUGGUUGGGGAUGAGCUCGCGGCCUAUCAGCUUGUUGGUGGGGUAAUGGCCUACCAAGGCGGCGACGGGUAGCCGGCCUGAGAGGGUGGACGGCCACAUUGGGACUGAGAUACGGCCCAGACUCCUACGGGAGGCAGCAGUGGGGAAUAAUGCACAAUGGGCGGAAGCCUGAUGCAGCGACGCCGCGUGGGGGAUGACGGCCUUCGGGUUGUAAACUCCUUUCGAACGAGAGGAAGCCACCUGGUUGGAAGGGUGGUGACGGUAGUGGUAGAAGAAGCACCGGCUAACUACGUG
This 494-nucleotide ribosomal RNA is filed under the name uncultured bacterium. Its description in RNAcentral is "partial 16S ribosomal RNA". It matches the Rfam family "Bacterial small subunit ribosomal RNA", at positions 28 to 507 of the family's 1533-position model. The record is from RNAcentral.